AGUGAACGCUGGCGGUAGGCCUAACACAUGCAAGUCGAACGGCAGCACAGUAAGAGCUUGCUCUUACGGGUGGCGAGUGGCGGACGGGUGAGGAAUACAUCGGAAUCUACUUUUUCGUGGGGGAUAACGUAGGGAAACUUACGCUAAUACCGCAUACGACCUACGGGUGAAAGCAGGGGAUCUUCGGACCUUGCGCGAUUGAAUGAGCCGAUGUCGGAUUAGCUAGGUGGCGGGGUAAAGGCCCACCAAGGCGACGAUCCGUAGUUGGUCUGAGAGGAUGAUCAGCCACACUGGAACUGAGACACGGUCCAGACUCCUACGGGAGGCAGCAGUGGGGAAUAUUGGACAAUGGGCGCAAGCCUGAUCCAGCCAUACCGCGUGGGUGAAGAAGGCCUUCGGGUUGUAAAGCCCUUUUGUUGGGAAAGAAAAGCAGCAGGUUAAUACCCCGCUGUUCUGACGUUACCCAAAGAAUAAGCACCGGCUAACUUCGUG
RNAcentral lists this ribosomal RNA (492 nucleotides) under uncultured bacterium. RNAcentral describes it as "partial 16S ribosomal RNA". It matches the Rfam family "Bacterial small subunit ribosomal RNA", at positions 29 to 507 of the family's 1533-position model. The record is from RNAcentral.